GCUCGCCGAGGCGUUGCGGGACGCGACGGCGGUGCUGUCGCGGUUGGACGUGGCCGGUUCGGGGCCGGUGGCCGAUGC
Molecule: transfer RNA, 78 nt
Filed under: Streptomyces sp. ADI95-17
Lineage: Bacteria; Bacillati; Actinomycetota; Actinomycetes; Kitasatosporales; Streptomycetaceae
Description: tRNA-Ser
Source: RNAcentral